UUAUGGCUCAGAAUGAACGUGGGCGGCGUGGAUUAGGCAUGCAAGUCGAGCGAGAAGUGUAGCAAUACACGGAAAGCGGCGAAAGGGAGAGUAAUGCGUAGGUACCUACCCCUGGGACCGGGAUAGCGGCGGGAAACUGCCAUUAAUACCGGAUAACGUCCCCGGACCAAAGGUGUGAUUCCGCCCGUGGAGGGGCCUACGUCCUAUCAGCUAGUUGGCAGGGUAAUGGCCUACCAAGGCAUUGACGGGUAGCGGGUGUGAGAGCACGAUCCGCCUCACUGGGACUGAGACACUGCCCAGACACCUACGGGUGGCUGCAGUCGAGAAUCUUCCGCAAUGGGCGAAAGCCUGACGGAGCGACGCCGCGUGCGGGAUGAAGGCCUUCGGGUUGUAAACCGCUGUCAGUGGGGAGGAAAUGCACGGGGGUUCUCCCUCGUGUUCGACCGAUCCGCAGAGGAAGCACAGGCUAAGUUCGUGCCAGCAGCCGCGGUAACACGAACUGUGCAAACGUUAUUCGGAAUUACUGGGCUUAAAGAGUUCGUAGGCGGCUUGUUAAGUCGGGUGUGAAAUCCCUUGUCUCAACCAAGGAAUUGCGCUCGAAACUGGCGGGCUUGAGUGAGAUAGAGGUGAGCGGAACUGAUGGUGGAGCGGUGAAAUGCGUUGAUAUCAUCAGGAACACCGGUGGCGAAGGCGGCUCACUGGGUCUUUACUGACGCUGAGGAACGAAAGCUAGGGGAGCGAACGGGAUUAGAUACCCCGGUAGUCCUAGCUGUAAACGAUGAGCACUGGACUGAGCGGACCUCCACAUCCGCCCGGUCGUAGCGAAAGCGUUAAGUGCUCCGCC
This 844-nucleotide ribosomal RNA is filed under the name uncultured bacterium. RNAcentral's name for it is "bacterial SSU rRNA". It matches the Rfam family "Bacterial small subunit ribosomal RNA", at positions 17 to 873 of the family's 1533-position model. The record is from RNAcentral.